Grammomys surdaster is the source of this 1062-nucleotide long non-coding RNA. RefSeq lists it as uncharacterized. Lineage: Eukaryota; Metazoa; Chordata; Mammalia; Rodentia; Muridae. The record is from RefSeq and is a predicted model, not a curated record. The transcript has 3 exons.
AUCAUAUUUGUUCAUAAUGUGACUAUAGUUAAAUAUUUUUUCCUCAUUAUGAAAUCACAAAAUUAAAAUAAAAAUUAAGCAUGGUAUUUGUUUAAGUGAGAAAUCUGUUUUAGCCCAAUUAUAUUUGUCCACGAGGUACCUGGUUGAUUUACCCAAGCUGCUUUGUUAUUUCAUAUUCUGCUUUUUGCAUGUCUGGAACCAUAAAUUACUAACACAGAGGUUAUAUUCUGUAUUGUGGCAUACAUGUAGCUACUCUGAGGCUAGAUUUUCUUGUGAUUUUCCAUUUUGUUGAGUUUUGCUUUCUCUGUCUCUUGCUUGCCAUUCAGACAACUGUGUUGGAAGUUGACAUUAAGAGUAGAAGCCCUGAGAGAGGAAAGUGUUCAGUGCAUUAAAACUCAUCGACUAUGCUGUGGAAACUGCUCCAGCAUUCUUUAUAUUCUAAAGGGGAGAGGAUGAGAAUCAGAGUUUGUUCAAAGAUGCUGCCACCCUCAAUGACCCAUGUAUCUCCUGUGAUGAGGAUUGGUGACGUAUCAUCCACUGAAUAGCACAAAUUGUCUUGAUUACUAACCUGGGAAAGGCUGAUGCUAACUCAAAGUGACCGAUAUCUUAAAUAGAAGCAAGAGCUGAAGAAUUACAAGCAGCGGUGUCUCUUUACCAUGAUUAACUGAAGCUGAAGUCUCAGUGUCAGGAGAUUUUGAGACUUGAGGAGAGUUUGAGGACAUGGAAGCAAUCAUUCACAUGGUUGUGUUGAAAUGAUUGAAGUUGGAACAAAAUCUAAGGGACUACUACAGGUGUGAUUAGUGGAAGGCAGAAAGUAGAAAAACAAGAAGAGGCAAUUCCUUUGCAUCUGAGGCCAGGAAUGCCCAUGAUGCAAGACAGUAAAGGGGAGACCCAUGGUACUCUGAUGCUUUCUACCCUGAAGAUAUCAAUUUCAGAUGUGGGUACAGAAAUAUCUCUUUAAAGCUUUUCUUUUGGAGGCUAGGUUAGUGAAUCUUUUAAUCCCAACUGGUAUUUGUCUCCUCUUUUAAGUUUCCAAUAAAAUUAUUGGCUAUCUUGUGUUCA